AGAGCCAGCAUGGGAUGGCGGGGCUGGACGUCUCAGGCACGAUCAGGCCCACGGGAAAGUCGGAGGUCAGGGCGCCAGGGCCUCUGGUUGGGGGCUUCAGAGGCGUUGCAGUCGACUCCUGGAGCAGAGGAUUCAAGUCUGCAAAAUAGAGGGGAGACCCCUAGGAGCUUGGGGACUGCGGAGGCCCCUAGGCCCAGGUGAGUCAUGCCAGGCUGCGCUCCAGAGGGCAGACAGGAGGUGAUGUGGGCCUCAGGGCUCUGAUGGUAGCAGCUGCUGGAGAAAGAGUGGCAUCAAAGUGGAACUGGGAGAGGGCUGGGGCCAGCUGCGAUGCAGGGAUGGGUGAGGUGCUGGC
RNAcentral lists this long non-coding RNA (352 nucleotides) under Homo sapiens (human). Its description in RNAcentral is "HSALNT0379548". Lineage: Eukaryota; Metazoa; Chordata; Mammalia; Primates; Hominidae. The record is from RNAcentral.